AUUGAACGCUGGCGGCAUGCCUUACACAUGCAAGUCGAACGGCAGCACGGGUGCUUGCACCUGGUGGCGAGUGGCGAACGGGUGAGUAAUACAUCGGAACAUGUCCUGUAGUGGGGGAUAGCCCGGCGAAAGCCGGAUUAAUACCGCAUACGAUCUACGGAUGAAAGCGGGGGCCCUUCGGGCCUCGCGCUAUAGGGUUGGCCGAUGGCUGAUUAGCUAGUUGGUGGGGUAAAGGCCUACCAAGGCGACGAUCAGCAGCUGGUCUGAGAGGACGACCAGCCACACUGGGACUGAGACACGGCCCAGACUCCUACGGGAGGCAGCAGUGGGGAAUUUUGGACAAUGGGCGAAAGCCUGAUCCAGCAAUGCCGCGUGUGUGAAGAAGGCCUUCGGGUUGUAAAGCACUUUUGUCCGGAAAGAAAUCCUUGGCCCUAAUACGGUCGGGGGAUGACGGUACCGGAAGAAUAAGCACCGGCUAACUACGUG
RNAcentral lists this ribosomal RNA (486 nucleotides) under uncultured bacterium. RNAcentral describes it as "partial 16S ribosomal RNA". It matches the Rfam family "Bacterial small subunit ribosomal RNA", at positions 30 to 507 of the family's 1533-position model. The record is from RNAcentral.